UCGAGAAUAUAAUUCAAUAUGACGAAACUUUUGAUUAUCAUUAUGGGCGUCAUGGCGGUUGGUGUACUGGCAGAGUCAGCACUACGAAGAGUUGUCAGAUCUCCGGAAUAUGGGUAUGAAGGUGGUUACGAUGGACAUGGGGACCACCACGGAGAUGAUUCUGAUGAAGAACACGGAUACCAAGACAGUCAUUUCAAUGGAGAACAGGAACACCAAGGGUACCAUUCUGAUUCAGAACACGGACACGAAGGAGGUGAUUUCGAUGGAUAUCAUGAUGACCAUCAUGACGGACAUCAUGAAGGUGACUUCGGAGGCUACUAUUAAUGGAAUGAUGUAGCCGAGUCUUCGCAUCACCAUUUUGGAUUCAACAGCAUGUUUUUAGAUUGCUCUCUUUGUAAAUAUCAUUAAAACAAAACCUUUGGCACUGAUACGUAGCAUUCUGUAUCCCCAUGUAAUCUGAUACUGUCUGCAGUUCAGUCAAAACCAGUUUUUGACAAUGACCAUCCAAAGAGUUGAGUCUUGAGUCAUUCGGAACCGGUAUUACGAACAUAAAAAAGGGUUUCUAAACUUAUCAAUUGAACAGGUUGAUGGAAGAACGUAUGAAUA
This is a long non-coding RNA of Diachasma alloeum, 606 nucleotides long. RefSeq lists it as uncharacterized. The record is from RefSeq and is a predicted model, not a curated record. The transcript is spliced from 3 exons. NCBI's taxonomy places the organism in Eukaryota, Metazoa, Arthropoda, Insecta, Hymenoptera, Braconidae.